Pelobates cultripes (western spadefoot toad) is the source of this 213-nucleotide non-coding RNA. Lineage: Eukaryota; Metazoa; Chordata; Amphibia; Anura; Pelobatidae. The record is from the annotation of a GenBank genome assembly.
GGAGUUUUAUUCGGUAGUUAAAAAGGGAACAGUAUAGAGUCCACAUGAACGGGAAAACACGAAUUAAACUAACGAAUGAAGAAUAAGUCUCUGUAAAUUCAAGACAGAGAGAUCUGUCACACGGCUCCCCCUUUGUGGGAUACUCCGGCAGACCUGGUUUGAUCCUUCAAUGGUUCAACGUGGGGAUGUCCGGACUGAGAAGCUGGAGUAGGG